Molecule: long non-coding RNA, 2123 nt
Filed under: Brassica napus (rape)
Lineage: Eukaryota; Viridiplantae; Streptophyta; Magnoliopsida; Brassicales; Brassicaceae
Description: long non-coding RNA (BNAP_LNC005780)
Source: RNAcentral
AGUGCCCUAUAUCUCAUCGCUAAUUCUGUAGUUUAGGGAUUUUCGUAUCGAUUGAGUUAUUUGAUUACAGAUUAUCUUAUCAUAAUUCAUACGGAAAGACCAUUAGAUUAUAUGAUUAUGUGAUGCCUAAGUAUACAAUAUUGCUCAUCUAGCCUGUGUCUAUGUUGAUUGAUGAUUUUGUGGCUUCUUGCAUAUUAGUUUUUGGUUGAUAAAUUAUUGUUUGUAUGAUGUGCAAGUGGGACAUGGACGAGGUAGUAGUACAAGUGGAGAAGACGAAGAGAGAAUGGGACGACGCCUACGAGAAGACCUUCGAACAUAUCCUUGCGAUUCAAGAGUACGGUAAAUCAAGGAGAGGAGGCGAGGAGAAGAUUUCUCUGCAGAGGCUCAACGGGUUGGCUCAGGAUGGUCUCUCUCUUCUCAACUCUCUUCAAUUCAAUCUCGAUCUUCUCGCCCCUCAGCUCCCUUCUGAUGACCAGGUCCAGUCCACUCAGUCUCUGCUUGAAACCUGGAAGAAUCAGUAUCAAAGGUAUAUAUGUGCUUUUUUUUGUAUAACAAACGAUUAGGUAGUUGGGGGUAAUGUAAAUUGUAGCUCAAGUUGAUGGCGAUUGAUCUUGACUUAGGGACAUUUCUGUGACUGUUUAAAAGCAUUGCCUUGUGCUUGACUUUUGCCUAUGUAAGGUUUAGUUGACCAAAUUGAAUCUGGAUUGUUUUUCUUUGUGGUCAGUUUGAGGGUUAACCUGAGAAGUGCUAAUUUGAAAGCAAAGGAUAACAUGAGGAAAGCUGCUCAACAAGAGGUAAGUCCGCACUCUCUCUGCUCUGCUGCUGUUUUCACCAGCAUUCUCCUUUGAAUCCCCUUUUCUUUUUAUAUAUAUAUAUAUAAAGAGUGCUUACAAUGAUUGUAGAGAGAGCUUCUCCUCGGUGGUGGAACAGAGUCCACUGAUCUCAGACGUAAACGACAGUAAGUAACUGUUUCAUACUCUAUUACAUCAGUCCUGCUUGACCCAGCCUCUUCUUUAAAACAAUUUUACUUGUAUUUUUUGUUAAAGUAGCACUCUCUAAAAUAUAGUUCAUCUUGGUUGUUUGUAGAGCAAAUGCUGGAGUGACGUCGGAUGCUGAAAGCAUUACUGAAAGUCUCAGGCGUUCACGCCAGCUGAUGGUUCAGGUCAGAACAGCUAUUUUCUGCUUACAUCCUGCUUGCUUUUUUUUUGUUUUCUGCUCUAGACCAAAGAAAACAACCCAUAAACAAAAGUUAAAGCUGAUUCAAAUAUUCUCUCUCGACUUUUGGGGGGUUACAGGAAGUGGAGAGAAGUACAAACACACUCGUGGCUUUCGGUAUGUCAAUCGAUAAUGCUCCUAUCUGACCUUAUGAUUAGAGUUUUUAGUGAAGAUAGUUAAGACACUAAAACUGACAUAUUAUCUAUGUUUACUUUCGCAGAUGAGUCUACUGGAGUACUUAAGAAAGCCGAAAGUGAGUACAAAGGACACAGGUCUCUGUUAUCGAGGACCCGUAAAAGGAACGAAGUCGUUUCGAAUAUAAUUGGAACUACGUCGUUUUAUUUAUCUUCUUGCCCAAAAAAAAAAGAUUCCUCUUCUUCUGAUUGCUCCUCUCCGGAAUUGAAACAUUCGCUUUUGUUCGUCGAUCUCUGUUUCAAAAGAAACCAUUGCACUGAUCUUAUCAUUAUCUCAACCUUGUAAGUGCCCUAUAUCUCAUCGCUAAUUCUGUAGUUUAGGGAUUUUCGUAUCGAUUGAGUUAUUUGAUUACAGAUUAUCUUAUCAUAAUUCAUACGGAAAGACCAUUAGAUUAUAUGAUUAUGUGAUGCCUAAGUAUACAAUAUUGCUCAUCUAGCCUGUGUCUAUGUUGAUUGAUGAUUUUGUGGCUUCUUGCAUAUUAGUUUUUGGUUGAUAAAUUAUUGUUUGUAUGAUGUGCAAGUGGGACAUGGACGAGGUAGUAGUACAAGUGGAGAAGACGAAGAGAGAAUGGGACGACGCCUACGAGAAGACCUUCGAACAUAUCCUUGCGAUUCAAGAGUACGGUAAAUCAAGGAGAGGAGGCGAGGAGAAGAUUUCUCUGCAGAGGCUCAACGGGUUGGCUCAGGAUGGUCUCUCUCUUCUCAACUCUCUUC